This 253-nucleotide ribosomal RNA is filed under the name uncultured bacterium. RNAcentral describes it as "partial 16S ribosomal RNA". It matches the Rfam family "Bacterial small subunit ribosomal RNA", at positions 524 to 776 of the family's 1533-position model. The record is from RNAcentral.
UACGUAGGGUGCAAGCGUUGUCCGGAAUUAUUGGGCGUAAAGAGCUCGUAGGCGGUCUGUCGCGUCGGCUGUGAAAACCCGGGGCUCAACCCCGGGCCUGCAGUCGAUACGGGCAGACUAGAGUGUGGUAGGGGAGACUGGAAUUCCUGGUGUAGCGGUGAAAUGCGCAGAUAUCAGGAGGAACACCGGUGGCGAAGGCGGGUCUUUGGGCCAUAACUGACGCUGAGGAGCGAAAGCGUGGGGAGCGAACAGG